AUUGAACGCUGGCGGCAUGCCUUACACAUGCAAGUCGAACGGCAGCAUGGAAGAGCUUGCUCUUCUGAUGGCGAGUGGCGAACGGGUGAGUAAAGCAUCGGAACGUACCGUGUAGUGGGGGAUAACGUAGCGAAAGUUACGCUAAUACCGCAUACGCACUGAGGUGGAAAAGCAGGGGAUCGCAAGACCUUGCGCUAUACGAGCGGCCGAUGUCAGAUUAGCUAGUUGGUAGGGUAAAGGCCUACCAAGGCGACGAUCUGUAGCGGGUCUGAGAGGAUGAUCCGCCACACUGGGACUGAGACACGGCCCAGACUCCUACGGGAGGCAGCAGUGGGGAAUUUUGGACAAUGGGCGAAAGCCUGAUCCAGCCAUGCCGCGUGAGUGAAGAAGGCC
Molecule: ribosomal RNA, 393 nt
Filed under: uncultured bacterium
Lineage: Bacteria
Description: bacterial SSU rRNA
Rfam family: Bacterial small subunit ribosomal RNA
Source: RNAcentral